This 301-nucleotide ribosomal RNA is filed under the name uncultured bacterium. RNAcentral's name for it is "partial 16S ribosomal RNA". It matches the Rfam family "Bacterial small subunit ribosomal RNA", at positions 509 to 807 of the family's 1533-position model. The record is from RNAcentral.
CAGUAGCCACGGGAAUACGUAGGUGGCAAGCGUUGUCCGGAAUUAUUGGGCGUAAAGGGCUCGCAGGCGGUUUCUUAAGUCUGAUGUGAAAGCCCCCGGCUCAACCGGGGAGGGUCAUUGGAAACUGGGAAACUUGAGUGCAGAAGAGGAGAGUGGAAUUCCACGUGUAGCGGUGAAAUGCGUAGAGAUGUGGAGGAACACCAGUGGCGAAGGCGACUCUCUGGUCUGUAACUGACGCUGAGGAGCGAAAGCGUGGGGAGCAAAUGGGAUUAGAUACCCCCGUAGUCCCUGUCUCUUAUAC